UACGUAGGGAGCAAGCGUUGUCCGGAUUUACUGGGUGUAAAGGGUGCGUAGGCGGCUUUGCAAGUCAGAAGUGAAAUCCAUGGGCUUAACCCAUGAACCGCUUUUGAAACCGCAGAGCUUGAGUGGAGUAGAGGUAGGCGGAAUUCCCGGUGUAGCGGUGAAAUGCGUAGAGAUCGGGAGGAACACCAGUGGCGAAGGCGGCCUGCUGGGCUCUAACUGACGCUGAGGCACGAAAGCGUGGGUAGCAAACAGG
RNAcentral lists this ribosomal RNA (253 nucleotides) under uncultured bacterium. Its description in RNAcentral is "partial 16S ribosomal RNA". It matches the Rfam family "Bacterial small subunit ribosomal RNA", at positions 524 to 776 of the family's 1533-position model. The record is from RNAcentral.